AAUAGAUACCCCGGUAGUCCAUGCCGUAAACGGUGGGCGCUAGGUGUGGGGUUCCUUCCACGGGCUCCGCGCCGUAGCUAACGCAUUAAGCGCCCCGCCUGGGGAGUACGGCCGCAAGGCUAAAACUCAAAGGAAAUUAGACGGGGGCCCGCACAAGCGGCGGAGCAUGUGGAUUAAUUCGAUGCAACGCGAAGAACCUUACCUGGGCUUGACAUAUAGAGGAUCGCUACAGAGAUGUGGUUUCCCUUGUGGCUUCUAUACAGGUGGUGCAUGGUUGUCGUCAGCUCGUGUCGUGAGAUGUUGGGUUAAGUCCCGCAACGAGCGCAACCCUCGUCUUAUGUUGCCAGCACGUUAUGGUGGGGACUCGUGAGAGACUGCCGGGGUCAACUCGGAGGAAGGUGGGGAUGACGUCAAAUCAUCAUGCCCCUUAUGUCCAGGGCUUCACACAUGCUACAAUGGCCGGUACAGAGGGCUGCGAUGCCGUGAGGCGGAGCGAAUCUCUUAAAGCCGGUCUCAGUUCGGAUUGGGGU
This 530-nucleotide ribosomal RNA is filed under the name uncultured bacterium. RNAcentral's name for it is "bacterial SSU rRNA". It matches the Rfam family "Bacterial small subunit ribosomal RNA", at positions 777 to 1304 of the family's 1533-position model. The record is from RNAcentral.